UCAAGCGCGAAAAGGGCGUUUGGUGGAUGCCUAGGCAGCAAGAGGCGAUGAAGGACGUGAUACCCUGCGUUAAGCCAUGGGGAGCCGGGAAUAGGCUUUGAUCCAUGGAUCUCCGAAUGGGGAAACCCACCUGAUUGUUCAUUGUUGUCCUACCGCUUCGCUACUUGAGGACAUUGUCCGCGAGUGGGGAAGCGCAGGAUCAUCAAUGGGCAAAACCAGGUAUCAUUACCCUGAAUACAUAGGGGUUUUGAAGCGAACCCGGGGAACUGAAACAUCUAAGUACCCGGAGGAAAGGAAAUCAACAGAGACUCCGCUAGUAGUGGCGAGCGAACGCGGACCAGCCGAUCUCCGAAGAGUGACUGGAAUGGCCUGGAAAGGCCAGCGAUACAGGGUGACAGCCCCGUACAGGAAGCUCCAGGAGACAUAUCAAGUAGGGCGGGACACGUGAAAUCCUGUCUGAAGAUCGGGGGACCACCCCCGAAGGCUAAGUACUCCUUGCUGACCGAUAGCGAACCAGUACCGUGAGGGAAAGGUGAAAAGCACCCCGACGAGGGGAGUGAAACAGUACCUGAAACCGGACGCCUACAAGCAGUCGGAGGGUCCAUGAGACCUGACGGCGUACCUUUUGUAUAAUGGGUCAACGACUUGGUCUCACGAGCAAGCUUAAGCCGAUAGGUGGAGGCGCAGCGAAAGCGAGUCUUAAAAGGGCGUCGAGUUCGUGGGAUCAGACCCGAAACCAGGUGAUCUAGCCAUGAGCAGGAUGAAGUCAGGGUAACACCUGAUGGAGGUCCGAACCAACACCCGUUGAAAAGGGUCUGGAUGACUUGUGGCUAGGGGUGAAAGGCCAAUCAAACCUGGAGAUAGCUGGUUCUCCGCGAAAGCUAUUUAGGUAGCGCCUCGGACGAAUACCUCGGGGGGUAGAGCACUGCAUGGAUGAUGGGGGCCCACAGCCUUACUGAGUCUAAGCAAACUCCGAAUACCCGAGAGUACUAUCCGGGAGACACACGGCGGGUGCUAACGUCCGUCGUGAAGAGGGAAACAACCCUGACCUGCAGCUAAGGCCCCCAAUUCGUGGCUAAGUGGGAAAGCAUGUGGGACGGCCAAAACAACCAGGAGGUUGGCUUAGAAGCAGCCAUCCUUUAAAGAUAGCGUAACAGCUCACUGGUCUAGACAAGCUGUCCUGCGGCGAAGAUGUAACGGGGCUCAAGCCACGAGCCGAAGCUCAGGAUGCACAGCAAUGUGCGUGGUAGCGGAGCGUUCCGUGAUAUAGCUUCAUGUCUCUUAUCCCUCCGGGGAGACAGAGACGCGAAGCUUUCUGUGAAGCCGGGCCGUAAGGCAUCCGGUGGAGAGAUCGGAAGCGAGAAUGUUGACAUGAGUAGCGACAAACAGGGUGAGAGACCCUGUCGCCGAAAGUCCAAGGGUUCCUGCUUAAAGCUAAUCUGAGCAGGGUGAGCCGGCCCCUAAGGCGAGGCCGAAAGGCGUAGUCGAUGGGAACCAGGUUAAUAUUCCUGGGCCAGGAGGAUGUGACGGAUCGCAGGUGUAGUUCGGCCUUAUCGGAUUGGCCGGGCUGCUGAGCGGUCCCUGGAAAUAGCCCUCCAUCAGACCGUACCCUAAACCGACACAGGUGGACUGGUAGAGUAUACCAAGGCGCUUGAGAGAACCACAUCAAAGGAACUCGGCAAAAUGCCUCCGUAAGUUCGCGAGAAGGAGGCCCCGUCUGUGCGCAAGCAUGGGCGGGGGGCACAAACCAGGGGGUGGCGACUGUUUACUUAAAACACAGGGCUCUGCGAAGCCGUAAGGCGACGUAUAGGGUCUGACGCCUGCCCGGUGCUGGAAGGUUAAAAGGAGAGGUGCAAGCCUUGAAUUGAAGCCCCAGUAAACGGCGGCCGUAACUAUAACGGUCCUAAGGUAGCGAAAUUCCUUGUCGGGUAAGUUCCGACCUGCACGAAUGGCGUAACGAUCUCCCCGCUGUCUCUGAUGUGGACUCAGCGAAAUUGAACUGUGUGUCAAGAUGCACACUUCCCGCGGUUAGACGGAAAGACCCCAUGAACCUUUACUAUAGCUUCGCACUGGCAUCAGGAAUGUGAUGUGCAGGAUAGGUGGUAGGCAUCGAAGCGGGGACGCCAGUUCCCGUGGAGCCAACCUUGAGAUACCACCCUUCGCAUUCUUGAUGUCUAACCGCGGUCCGUCAUCCGGAUCCGGGACCCUGCGUGGUGGGUAGUUUGACUGGGGCGGUCGCCUCCCAAACAGUAACGGAGGCGCGCGAUGGUGGGCUCAGACCGGUCGGAAAUCGGUCGUCGAGUGCAAUGGCAGAAGCCCGCCUGACUGCAAGACUGACAAGUCGAGCAGAGACGAAAGUCGGCCAUAGUGAUCCGGUGGUCCCGAGUGGAAGGGCCAUCGCUCAACGGAUAAAAGGUACUCUGGGGAUAACAGGCUGAUGAUGCCCAAGAGUCCAUAUCGACGGCAUCGUUUGGCACCUCGAUGUCGGCUCAUCUCAUCCUGGGGCUGGAGCAGGUCCCAAGGGUAUGGCUGUUCGCCAUUUAAAGAGGUACGUGAGCUGGGUUUAGAACGUCGUGAGACAGUUCGGUCCCUAUCUGCCGUGGGUGUAGGAGACUUGAGAAGAGUUGCCCCUAGUACGAGAGGACCGGGGUGAACGAACCACUGGUGGACCAGUUGUCGUGCCAACGGCAGUGCUGGGUAGCUAUGUUCGGACAGGAUAACCGCUGAAGGCAUCUAAGCGGGAAGCCCCCUUCAAAACAAGGUCUCCCUUGAGGGCCGUGGAAGACCACCACGUCGAUAGGCCAGAGGUGUAAGUGCGGCAACGCAUUCAGCUGACUGGUACUAAUUGCCCGAUUGGCUUGAUCUG
This 2866-nucleotide ribosomal RNA is filed under the name Rhodobacter sp. CZR27. RNAcentral describes it as "bacterial LSU rRNA". It matches the Rfam family "Bacterial large subunit ribosomal RNA". The record is from RNAcentral. Lineage: Bacteria; Pseudomonadati; Pseudomonadota; Alphaproteobacteria; Rhodobacterales.